GACAAAUUACGAAAACAACGGAAGAAACGGACUCUAUUGAAGCUUAAAUCAAAGUACCAAAACGAAAUUGUUCAGUGGGAAAAUUUGUCGAACACCUUGCGUUCAUUGCAUAUUUCUUCUUCAACUCAGCUUCAACAACAACGACAACUAGAGCAAACCCUAUCUCUUCCUUCCUUUCCCUCAUUUCAAUUUUUGAAUGGAAUCCGAAGACGACGAAUGGGAACUUUGCUACGACGACGGCUUCGUCUACAAACGCAAGCGCCGUCGACUCAAUCCUCCACCGCCGGAACCCUCAUCGGAGCCGGAUCAGGAAGCUGCCGACAAAUUACGAAAACAACGGAAGAAACGGACUCUAUUGAAGCUUAAAUCAAAGUACCAAAACGAAAUUGUUCAGUGGGAAAAUUUGUCGAACACCUUGCGUUCAUUGCAUAUUUCUUCUUCAACUCAGCUUCAACAACAACGACAACUAGAGCAAACCCUAUCUCUUCCUUCUACUUCUUCAUCCUCCCAUUCAUCUCUCCUCGAUGAUCUUCUCUUCCAGGUAACUUCACAAAUUUCUCUUUCUUCCCAAUUUGUACCUAAUACCCCCCCAAAAAAAUUUGAAACGAAAUUGAGGCAAUUACUAACUUAGUCUGAGAUUUGCG
Molecule: long non-coding RNA, 644 nt
Filed under: Cicer arietinum (chickpea)
Lineage: Eukaryota; Viridiplantae; Streptophyta; Magnoliopsida; Fabales; Fabaceae
Description: long non-coding RNA (CARI_LNC000371)
Source: RNAcentral